GGGGAAGGCGGAGCUUAGACGAGCAGAGAGGCGGGGCUCAAAGUUCCUACCCGCGAGAGGGAAGAAGCAGCUUCCACACUAGCAUAUUUACCUGUCUGUCUCCAGUGCCAAGCUCAGCCCCCAGCACCUGUAGAUACACAAUAGAUGUCUGCUGAGAGGUGCUCUGGUGAAACAAGUAUAAAAUGAAUGUCAGGAUGUUCUCCCUCAUGGUGGGCAUCUUCUCUGUCCUUAAUACCACCCAGUUCUUCAUCUUUGACCUGAACCAGAAGACACACAUUUGCUGUGAGGCCAAGUUCAGCAUCUACGUGGACUCAAAGUCGGAGCUAGUCACUUGGACCCUGUUCCACAGGGCUAAUAUCAGCACUGGCCUCUCCCUCACCACCAUCAUCAUCAGCUGCUUCCUCCUUUAUUGUAUCCACAAGAAUAUCUACAUGGGGCUGCUGAUCUAUGCCAUGUGGAUCAUCACUUACGAGCUC
This 476-nucleotide small RNA is filed under the name Pan troglodytes (chimpanzee). RNAcentral describes it as "processed transcript". Lineage: Eukaryota; Metazoa; Chordata; Mammalia; Primates; Hominidae. The record is from RNAcentral.